UACAGAGGGGGCGAGCGUUAUUCGGAAUUAUUGGGCGUAAAGGGCGCGUAGGCGGCUUGCUAAGUCGAACGUGAAAUCCCCGGGCUCAACCCGGGAACUGCGUCCGAGACUGGCAGGCUUGAAUCCGGGAGAGGGAUGUGGAAUUCCAGGUGUAGCGGUGAAAUGCGUAGAUAUCUGGAGGAACAUCGGUGGCGAAGGCGGCAUCCUGGACCGGUAUUGACGCUGAGGCGCGAAAGCCAGGGGAGCAAACGGG
RNAcentral lists this ribosomal RNA (253 nucleotides) under uncultured bacterium. Its description in RNAcentral is "partial 16S ribosomal RNA". It matches the Rfam family "Bacterial small subunit ribosomal RNA", at positions 524 to 776 of the family's 1533-position model. The record is from RNAcentral.